CGGGCGGGUUCCGGCCAAUAUGCGACGCUGGGUACUACCUCUCAGAUUCUCCAGAGGGGAGUGGAGCUGGAGGCCAAGGAGGGCCAGAGAGGAUAACAAACCUACAGCUUACUUACUACCUGACCUGAAGAUUUGGGGGUCAUCAACCCUUGCAACCACAUGAGUCAAGAGAAGCCUGAUGCCUGACCCUCCAGUUUGAGACUUGGCAGCCCCCACCCUGCAGGAGCCAUUGCCUUGAAAUGCAAGGAAUCCCAUCCCAGAUACCACGUUACAGAAUUUCAUCAUCAGGGUGUUGGAGGACAGCUCUACACCACAGAUAUGGAGACACACCCGUAGCUAUGGUUAGAGAGCCUCCUGGCGCAGUGGGUGAGUCAAGAGGUUAACGCCCCUCAUGCCUCAAAAUCUCCUUCCCUACCUUGUCACCUUAAUGCCUUCUGAUUCUUCCCCAUCCCCGGUGUGCCAGUGCCACUAAACUCACUCUCCUCUUGCGGUCUUCUCCCCAGUUCUGGCCUCUUCUCUGCUUCAUGUUUCUCUUAGACGCAAACUCAAAAUUCUCAUGGAUUGGCAAUCCAGCAGCCCACCAGGGUUUCAAAAUAUAACCUCUACUCACCACCACCUCCCAAAACGAGAACACAUUUUAAAAUUUGGGGGGAACUGGUGACCAUUUAAGGGAGCGCAAAGGGCAACACUUCCCCAAGGACAAAGUACAGAGAGUUAGGAAAGGAGGCAAAAUGGAAACAGAGACCCAGGGAGGGCAUGGGAUCCAUGAUGGGACAGGGAGAGGC
Long non-coding RNA from Echinops telfairi (small Madagascar hedgehog), 785 nucleotides. RefSeq lists it as uncharacterized. Lineage: Eukaryota; Metazoa; Chordata; Mammalia; Afrosoricida; Tenrecidae. The record is from RefSeq and is a predicted model, not a curated record. The transcript has 3 exons.